This 162-nucleotide ribosomal RNA is filed under the name Trema orientale. RNAcentral's name for it is "5.8S ribosomal RNA". It matches the Rfam family "5.8S ribosomal RNA". Rfam says of the family: 5.8S ribosomal RNA (5.8S rRNA) is a component of the large subunit of the eukaryotic ribosome. It is transcribed by RNA polymerase I as part of the 45S precursor that also contains 18S and 28S rRNA. Lineage: Eukaryota; Viridiplantae; Streptophyta; Magnoliopsida; Rosales; Cannabaceae. The record is from RNAcentral.
AAAACGACUCUCGGCAACGGAUAUCUCGGCUCUCGCAUCGAUGAAGAACGUAGCGAAAUGCGAUACUUGGUGUGAAUUGCAGAAUCCCGUGAACCAUCGAGUCUUUGAACGCAAGUUGCGCUCGAAGCCAUUAGGCUGAGGGCACGUCUGCCUGGGCGUCAC